GGAAGGAUCAUUACACAGCGUGCGUUGCGCACGCGGACACGCCUGGGCUUCCGGCCCAGGGUGCUCUUGUCCUUGCCUGAUUACACCUAAUGUUUUUUCCUCGGGGGGGUGUAUCCCCCCGGUAGGGAAGCCUAAACAACCUUAGAAGCAGCAGUGUACUCUCUGAUGGAAACAUGAAUCGUGACAACUUUCAACAAUGGAUCUCUUGGUUCUGGCAUCGAUGAAGAACGCAGCGAAAUGCGAUAAGUAGUGUGAAUUGCAGAAUUCAGUGAAUCAUCGAAUCUUUGAACGCACAUUGCGCCCUUCGGUAUUCCGUGGGGCAUGCCUGUUCGAGCGUCAUUGACACCUUCAAGCCUUGCUUGGUGUUGGGCGUCUGUCCCGGGGGCGCACCUCCCGUCCGGACUCGCCUCAAAGGUAUUGGCAGCGGACCCUCUGGCCUCCUAAUCGCGCAGCACUGCCCGCGCCUCCUGGAGCCUGGGGCGUUUCAGCGUCCAUGAAGCCUAACUCUCCCAUGUUUGACCUCGGAUCAGGUAGGGAUACCCGCUGAACUUAAGCAUAUCAAUA
This 564-nucleotide ribosomal RNA is filed under the name Pleosporales sp. E9404e. RNAcentral's name for it is "eukaryotic LSU rRNA". The stretch from base 186 to 339 matches the Rfam family "5.8S ribosomal RNA". Lineage: Eukaryota; Fungi; Ascomycota; Dothideomycetes; Pleosporales. The record is from RNAcentral.